UGUUGCUACAACUGUGCUUUA
This 21-nucleotide non-coding RNA is filed under the name Caenorhabditis elegans. Lineage: Eukaryota; Metazoa; Nematoda; Chromadorea; Rhabditida; Rhabditidae. The record is from RNAcentral.